CUCUCUAUCAGCAACUGAAUGUUUUCUGUUUAGAGGAAAGAUGCUCGCACAGCCUCUUUUGCUUUUGGGCAUUGAUCCAGGAAAACUAUAAAACACUUGUUUGUUAAUGGAAAAAAAAAUCCAAGCAUGAGGUUUUGAACAGAACUAUUAAUGUCCUGAGUGAGUGUUCUAGCAGUAAAGGGAGGUUUCAGUCACUUUCCUUUUCGUCUUGGCAACCUUUUAUUUUAGAGUGGUGAAGGGCAAGACUUGUGAAAUAAUGCUAGUCCUUGGGGCUUCCAGUGUCUACUCUGCAGCAUAAGAAUGGCAAACCCCAGAACUAUUGACAGACUUUCAAAAAUACUGAUUUUUGAUAAAGCUGUUAGUACUGUUAGUAAUGUGAGUGGAGGACUGGCUUCUCCCUGGGCGUUCCAGGCUCUAAUCUGACCUACAAACAGCUUUGUCCUCUGCAGGCUUGGUAUGGCAAAUUCUUCUCUUCAGUAGGCUUGGACUGGCAAAUCUCAUCCUGAGGAACCCAAACACUUCAUUUGGGUGUGCAGAAAGAAUGGACACCCAGCUCAAGGCUUCAAGUUCCCUGCUGGGAAGGGAGCUGUAAUCUGAGAUCUACCAGCCUGGUGGCCAUGCAAGUUUUGGUGCUGGGGUGGAUUCUGGGAGAAGCUGCCGGAAGUGUCCCCGUGUCUGAUGGAGCCAAUGCCAGCUGGCAUUGGCCAAGACAGCCCCACCACUGGCCAAGGCUGAGCCCAUCAGCAAGGGUGGUAACACCUUUGGGAUAAUGUAUUUAAGAAGUGGAGGGGAAAGAAAAGACAACUUCAGCAGGAGAAGCGGUGAGAAUAUGUGACAGAGACAGCCCUGCAGAAACCAAGUGCAAAGGAGAAGGAAGGGGAGGAGGUGCUGCAGUGGCUGGAGCAGAGGUUCCCCUGCAGCUCAUGGUGCAGACCACGGUGGAGCAGCUGUGCCCCUGUGGAGGACCCCACGCUGGAAGCAGUUCCUACCUGAAGGAGACUGUGACCCCAUGUGAAACCCAUCCUGGAGCAGGCUUUUGACAGGACCUCUGGCCCCAUGGAGAGAUGAACUCACACUGGAGCAGGCUUUUGCAGGAUUUGUGGACCCAUGGAAAGAGGAGCCCCCACUGGAGCAGGUUUGGUGGAAGGACUUGGAACCUGUGGGGGAUUCACACUGGAGCAGUCUGUUCCUGAAGGUCUGCGCCCCAUGGAAGGGACCCAUGCUGGAGCAGAUUGUGAAGAACUGCUACCUGCAGGAAGAACUCAUGUUAGAGAAGUCCAUGGACAACUGCCUCCUGUGGAAGAGCCUCUAGACUGCAGCAGGCUGAUUGUAUCCAGUGAAUAGAGCAGCUUUGGUGGUCAGCUGGUGUCCAGCCAAAGUCAACAAACCAUAUGGUGAUGUGCUUCUAAAGGUCACAUCUAGUAAGUGGAGCAUUGUGCCUACUGCCUACUGAACUGCACUCUAAACUAGUAGAAUAAAUAUGUCAAGAAUGAGAUUCCUACAACAUAAAACAUAUGCCUUGCUUAAUGCUUGGAGGUUCAGCAGAAGUUUCAUCUGAGGUUGGAUAUGCUGACUUUUUCUGCAAUAGCAGUGGAAAUAUUUGAGUUAGUGACUCAUAAGGGUGGCAGAACUCUGAGUCAUGCAUGUAUUUCUUUACUUGCAGAUGCACCUUCAGCUGCAGUAGCUGCAGAGGUGUAAGGUAGUGCUUGCUUGGUCUCGUGCCUUGCUCUGGGAGUGGAGUGCAUUUGGGAAUGAGUUAUUUGGAAUGAAGCCCAAUGCUGUGGCACUCACUGCAGACAGAGUCGUCUGCACAGACAGAGACACAUCUGAUAUAGCUAUUGGAAUAGACUGACUGUUUCUUAAAUUAGACUAAAAUGAUCAUAACAGCUUCCAUUGUCAAAAGCAGCUGUUCUGUCUGUGCUCCAAAAAAAAAAAAAAAAGUGUGGAAGUAGCAUAGAAGCAUAACUGUCAGAAUGGAAUAUUAAGACUCUCUUUUCAGAGUUUCAGUUUCUUUAGUAGUAUGGUAGCAAUUUCUGAGGUGCUUGUGUUGUAAGAUAAUUAAGUGCAAACUACGUUGAGAAGCAAAUCAAGAGAAUCAAGAGUGAAGCCUGAAAUAUGAGCCAAUCUGAAUCUUAACCUUAAAGUUUUCAAAGCUCUUAUUUAUAAACAGAUAUGGGGACUUCAAUCCCCUGCUCAGGGUUGCAAUAGACAACACCACCCCACCACCUCAGAUCAGUAAAAGACUAUUUAAUGUAUUUUGUCUUGCUCAAGGUUUGUAUUUUCAAAUACAGUGCAUUGUAGCAACUCUAAUGAGCAGAAAGACAGAGACAAAAGUGGUAAAAACUGCAGACAAAGAAUGACCAUGGUGUCCUCUAGUAUGUAAAAAGACACUGUGUGCCAGAGAAGCUGUGCAGGAACUCAGCAGUGGGGUGUUUUUGUAAACUGGGUUAGAGAAGACCAGAGCUGCAUGUAAGGAACAUGACACACAUCCAUUUAGAUAUAUUUCUCUUUUGUAAAAUCACAAAGACAUUUCCUUCUACCAGCUGGAUGACUUUUGGGAGAGAGCUGUAACUUUUAGGGUGUGUCAGUCAGGUAAGGAUCAGAAGAAGGGGGAAGAUUUAUCAGAAAGUUGGGGAACAUCUAGAAAAGAAAUGAAACACUUCUAUUUCAGUAGCUGAACAAAGAUGACAAAAUGGGAGUAAUUCUUGGAGUCAAAAGUCUAUACCCUUUGAAGAGAAAUAGCAGUACAUAUCAUAACCACAUGGAAACUUUUACAAAGGAAAAAAAAAAGUGAAGAAAACAAUCCAUUUUAUGGGUAUUAAAUUAGCAACAUACACUCAUCUGAUGGGAUGAUAACAAGUGGCAUCAGCAAGAUACAUUUUUGCCAUUACUGUAAACUGAUUGUUAUUCUGCAUGAGAAAAAUCUGUAUGUAAUGAAUUCUGGGUGAAUCCAUAUUGGCUGGAUUGCAGAGCCUUCUGGAAAUCAAGAAACCAAGAAGGUACUCCACCACAUUGUUCUAAGAAAAUACUGUUUCCUUGACAUUGGAGCCUCAGGAAUGGUGCUUUUGUCCCUUUGCACAGAAUCAUGUCACAAAAGAGGACAAUAAUUUUGACUGAUGAUAGUAAUGCAAAAUUCUGUUAGCAGUAGUGCUACCAAUAGAUCACCACAGCCUGUAAACUUGAUUUUAAUACUUAAAAUAAAACAAGUUAUGUUAAGAAGAAUAGAGAGUUUAAAAUUCCAAGUGGAGAGAAAACAGCUGUUUGUUAGGGGAGCUGUUCAGGGGCUAGCAAAUUUAGAGCUUCAGUAUAUAUGCCCACACAUACAUAUCUUGGGACCAUGCUACAUUCUUCCAUAUUUUUGAAACUAAAUCAUAAAUUCAUGAAUGUUCACUGGAAUUCUACUAAUACGAAGAGAGUGUGCAUGCUUUUCCAAGAUUAGUACUAACUUUGGAAGCAGGACAGUGCUGUGCAUAUCUGUGGCAGCAGGUUUAUGUAUUUUUUAAAGAAAUUAUUUUUUUUUCUUCAGUUUAACUUGAAUUUUGUUUCUCUAGCAAGCAAUGUCAAAAAGAUGUAGCUAGUGACCUUGUGGAAGCAGCUUUUUUCUACAGUCCUGUUUGAGUGGGGUUUUUAGUUGAGCUGCCCUUCAAUUAUAAGGAGAAAAAAGAGAUAAUUAAUAUAAACUUGCUCCUUCUCCCAUCCAACUAAAUAACAGACUUAUUUAUUUUACCUGUGUUGGUACUUAUUGAAACACAUUCCCAUUCCCUAAGCCUCUGGGCUCAUUUACAUCUUUAGAAACAUAAUUAAACUUCAGUCAUCCAUAGCUGUCUGUCCACAUUUGAAACUGCCAGAAGGCAGGCAUUAGAUUAAUAACUUUCAACAAGUUAUUAUAUCAGAGGGGGAAGCUGACACCAUUCCUGAGAGGGACUUUGUCUUGAGCAUGGAGACCUCUCCAUGUCCAAGUCCAGCAGGAAAUCUGUGUGGGCGGGGAGGAGGAUACAAAGGGUGACAAAAAUGUGAUUUUUGGUUUCCAGGCAUGAUUGUUAACUUGGUGUUAUCUCAGAUUUUAGGUUGCCAGCUGGACACUUCAGAAUGGGCUGAUUUUUAGAUUAUAUGUGGGAGGCAUUCUUUAAAAAUUAAAUUCCUUUAAUGUUCAGCAAGACAGACACUUUGAAAUAGAAUUACUUGGUGUGAUUUACAGAAAAUUUGAAAUCACUCAUUUGUAAGAUUUUUGCUUGUUUGUUCUUUUCUGCAUAAAUAGUGUGUUUAAUUUCCCUCCAGCAUUUCUUGAAUAAAGAAUUCAUUAAUUUACUAAAAUGGUGAAAUGGAAUAAAUAAAAAUAUUA
This is a long non-coding RNA of Passer domesticus (house sparrow), 4342 nucleotides long. RefSeq lists it as uncharacterized. The transcript is spliced from 3 exons. Lineage: Eukaryota; Metazoa; Chordata; Aves; Passeriformes; Passeridae. The record is from RefSeq and is a predicted model, not a curated record.